This 1572-nucleotide long non-coding RNA is filed under the name Salvator merianae (Argentine black and white tegu). RNAcentral describes it as "lncRNA (ENSSMRG00000005827.1)". Lineage: Eukaryota; Metazoa; Chordata; Lepidosauria; Squamata; Teiidae. The record is from RNAcentral.
AUGGUGUCUCUUUCUUUCUUUCUUUCUUUCUUUCUUUCUUUCUUUCUUUCUUUCUUUCUUUCUUUCUUUCAGCCAGCCUCAUCUGCUCACGUUCCAGUGUGGCCUACCAGGGGGUUUAUCUUCUCGCCCCUUUCCGAGCAACAGCUGCAGAAAGAGGCCGCCGAGGCCCUGAUGGUGCUGAGAAACGCCUCACAGCCUGGCCCCAUUCUGACAACCCCAAGUCUUCUGCCCCCCACAAGUUCCGCCCCUGCUCUGAUGGCCUCACCAGCCUUUUCCCACCCCCCAGAGACAAUCCACAAUCCUGGGGCGCCCACCGCCUUCCAGCAGCCUCCCUCCUACUUCAUGCCUCCCUACGGCAUUCAACCUGGAAAGGCUUCCAGGGACAGAGCUUUAAAGGGUACCCAGAUCCCCCCCGAGCCAGUCAACGCUCACGGAGACCAGGCCUCACAACCCCUUUUGCUUCCUUUACUCCAUGGAAACGCUGCCCCCCAGCAAUACAAAAACAUCCACCUUUUCUCGCUCGCACCGUCUCGAGCGCCCCAGCUGGCCCCUUCCGUGAAGGUCUCCAGCAUCCAAGCUGUCAGGCCCAGCCUUAGAGUGGCCCCUAGUGUUAGCCACCCCCCAAACCUGGCAGCCUAUCAUACAUCCUCNGGGUCCGUGCCCCAUGCCAUCUGCGUGCCCCAAACGAUAGACCCCGGUUGGAUUCCAGAGGCUCCACCCAUCUCCGCUCACGGUGGCCCUCAGCUGCUGCCCUUCUGUGUCCCUCCAGUGGACAUAUCUGUCACCCCGGUGCCAUUGCAAACUGGCAUCCCGUGCAGCCCAUUUGGGAUGGAAGUACAUAUGCUGCCCAGGCUCUCCCUGCUGAAUCCUUCUCCCUAUAUUAUAGCCCAGCAGGCUUUCCCAGGCCCGCUGUUUCCCCCAGAGCAGAAAUCGCAGGUGUGCCGUCAGCUGCACGCCCAAGACAGAAAGAAUUCCUCUAAGAGUCAAGAAAGAGAAGAGCACGCAGACAAGGUCACCNGGAGCAAAGACCCAAAAGAGCCUACAGAAGCAGCACCUGACUUCCUUCCAUCUAAACAACCUUGCAGCCAGUCUGUUCCCCAAGCCUCCCCAAGCCAACAGCAGCCAAAUCACCAGACCAACUCUUCCCCCUCUGUUUCCCUAAGCAGUGCACAGAUGGACUCGCUCUCUCUCCCCAGCUAGGGUGGGAGGUGAGGGGGAAAGCUGCUUGCAUCUCCGUUUCGCAUAUGGAAACACUCUCCAGCCAACAAGUCUUUAAGGACCGGUGGCCCUUUUUAAAAUUCUGACCUAGCUGAGUUUCUGCAGAUGGUUAGAACAUCAAACAGCCAAGAUUACUUAAAACAUUCCGUUCGUGUUUAACUAGUUCAGUGCCAGAUGAGUGGCAGAGUUUAUAAAAGAAAUUUGAGCCAAUGUUCUAUUUUUAACAGUAUGUUGGAUUCUGUUUCUAACCAAUUGCUUUGGCAGUUAAUGUUUCUUCUUGGAGAAAUUGAAUCUUAUCAUUUAUUUCUCCCAUUUUAAAAUAAAGCACAACAGUUUUUUUAAUAAAGAAGUGAU